AUAGGUAUUCUCAAACAAUUGCAUUAUCUUAUAAAUUGUUAUUGCUUGAGAAUGCACAU
This 59-nucleotide microRNA precursor is filed under the name Strongyloides ratti. Its description in RNAcentral is "microRNA str-mir-234 precursor". Its record names the gene str-mir-234. Lineage: Eukaryota; Metazoa; Nematoda; Chromadorea; Rhabditida; Strongyloididae. The record is from miRBase by way of RNAcentral.